Molecule: long non-coding RNA, 1200 nt
Filed under: Equus caballus (horse)
Lineage: Eukaryota; Metazoa; Chordata; Mammalia; Perissodactyla; Equidae
Description: lncRNA (ENSECAG00000046688.1)
Source: RNAcentral
GGAAAGCAGGUGCACAUUCUCUUGUAAUUGCUUCUGUUUUCUCACUGAAGUGAGAGACAAGGUGGGCUUCUCCCCCCAACCUUGUCUUGGACUUCCACACUUACACACUGAGCUCACCCUUGAUUCAGAGCCUUUGUUCUGCUUGAAUCCCCUAAUUCCGGUCACCGUCCAUCCUGCUCCUUUUCUCCCUCAGACCUCUCCACCCUCCAUCAUCUUUGGAGACCACCAAUUGCUUGUGCAGAGUGAUGAAACACAGGACGUCAGGUUGAGGAGCCUGGGUUCUGCUUUGACUUUUCCUCUGGUUUUAUUGCCUCUCCGAGCUUCCACAAUUCUACCUCAAUGUUUCAUAUGUUUUUUACUUUGUGCCACAGUAAGAAAUCCAUUGGAUGUUGUGACCCAGAACACAUGUGUCUCAAAAGUGUUACGAGCCAUACCUGGCAGCGUGGAGAGCAUACUGGUUCAAGAUAGAGUCAUGAGUCCUCGGCUCUCGGGACUUAAAGGGAUCUCAAGUCCAGCUGGCCCAAACACCUGGCUGAUUGGACAUCCCCUGUCAUAUCCCUUUGAACUUAGAGUCCAGUUUCUGCUCACACUCCCAGUUCGUAGGAGGCCUUCUCUCCCGUUUUAGAUGCUCAAUGGAUCACCUCCCCUUGGUAUUCCGGAGCCACCCACCAAACAGCCUCUGCGCCUUGCAUCUGUGAGGCCCGCUGGCACCUCCAGUUCACCAUGCUUCAAACAGAGCUCAUCGACCCUGUCCCCCGCCCUCCAAUGCUUGUUCCUUCCCCCUGUUGUUCAUCCAGUAACCGGAGUCAGACAUCAUGGUCCAUAUCAGUAUUUAUGGCUCACUCUGUGCAGGUGACUAAGCAAAGGGCCUGCUCCCUGGAGCUUACGUUUUCAUGCGGGGAGGCAGACAAUCUCCAACAAGCGUCAGGAAGGCGAUGAAUCUGUGAGGGCUGGGCAGGCGGGAGCCAGGAGGGCCGGGAGGGCCCAUUGGCCCCGUUACUGAAUUCACCAGGCUGUGUCAGGAUGGGCCUUGUAGAGAAGGUGAGGUCUGAGAAAAGGCUCAAAGGAGGGAAAGGAAGUUGGCCAAGAUAUCUAGGGGAGGGAACAGCCUAGGCAGAGAUAGUGGAGAAGCCCCCAGAAGACUUGUAAAACAGAGUUUCUGAUUCAGUGGGUCUGAGGUGGGACCAGAAACUUUGUGUG